RNAcentral lists this ribosomal RNA (486 nucleotides) under uncultured bacterium. RNAcentral describes it as "partial 16S ribosomal RNA". It matches the Rfam family "Bacterial small subunit ribosomal RNA", at positions 30 to 507 of the family's 1533-position model. The record is from RNAcentral.
AUUGAACGCUGGCGGAAUGCUUUACACAUGCAAGUCGAACGGCAGCACGGGAGCUUGCUCCUGGUGGCGAGUGGCGAACGGGUGAGUAACAUAUCGGAACGUACCCAGUCGUGGGGGAUAACUAUCCGAAAGGAUAGCUAAUACCGCAUACGUCCUGAGGGAGAAAGCGGGGGCUCGCAAGACCUCGCGCGAUUGGAGCGGCCGAUAUCGGAUUAGCUAGUUGGUGGGGUAAAGGCUCACCAAGGCGACGAUCCGUAGCGGGUCUGAGAGGACGACCCGCCACACUGGAACUGAGACACGGUCCAGACUCCUACGGGAGGCAGCAGUGGGGAAUUUUGGACAAUGGGGGCAACCCUGAUCCAGCCAUUCCGCGUGAGUGAAGAAGGCCUUCGGGUUGUAAAGCUCUUUCAGCAGGAACGAAACGGUCGGCUUUAAUAAAGUCGGCUAAUGACGGUACCUGCAGAAGAAGCACCGGCUAACUACGUG